UGUUCCUAGGUAGGUUUCUGAGUGCUCCUCUCUCUCUCUCUCCCUCUCCCUUCCGCUUUAGCUCUGCGCUUUAGGGUUUGGGUUUGGGAGCCGCUGCAGCGGGCGCCCGCUUACCCCCGCCGCCUCCGCGGCCGGGACCGCCGGCGCGGGCGGCGCCCCCCGCCCCCGCUCGACGACCUCGCCUCCCACUACCGCCGCCAGUUCCGCAGCCUCCGCGCGCCCCUGGGCGGCGACGACGCCCGCCACCUCUAGAGGGCGGAGCGGCGGCCCCUCGGGCCCCGGCCCCAGGGGUCGCGCCUGGAGCGGCCCUAGGAGCAGAGGUUGGAGACGAAGCGCGUGUUGAGCGGGAGCGAGACCUUCGACGAGCUGGUCCGGUACAGCAGGGCGGAGGAGACGGGCGAGGUGCAGGAGCGCGAGGAGUGGCGGUCCCAAGACGGCGUCGCGGCCCGCGUCGGCCUCCGCAUGGCCGACAUGGAGCUCGACGACUUCCCGUUGCAGUGCAGGAAGAGCGACAGCGAGGACCGGCCCGGAUUAGCACUGUUCUAUUGUUUUAGGUAGCUGCGACGAGACGUUGACAGAUUUUCGAUGCCCCAAAGACCCUGCCUGAAACCGGUACAACAGUAGGACAAACACAACUAACAAUAGUGGUUUGACUAGCUAACACACGACCUCCUAACGCCGUAAAGUAGACCUUACUGUGUCCUCGUCCUCUCACAUAUAGGGUGACUUCCCGGGGUCGGGUACCUGUACCUACAGUUCCCCCAGAGGCGACACUUCGUUUUACUCGUCGCACUUGUCAACGCAGCUUUCUUGUGGCAGUACAGAAACCUUCACAACGUAUAGUACCGGCGACUAUCCUUCUAAGUUCGUAAAGACGCGAACUAUACAGAAUUGUACGGACUGUUUAAGUCACAAGACUCGGUCUCCGACUGUGACUAACUUCGAGUGUUCUACCGUGAGCUCUCUAAUAACGGAUGAUCAGUAUUUUAACUACUAGAGCACUACAUAUAGACCUCUCACUCGUUAGAUCUAAUGGUUGGUUUGUUGUUUGCCGAACACCCACAAGAACCAUUGAACUCUAGGUCGUUAAGGUACGACCCGGUUGAAUGUCCUCGACCCUCUCGACGGACAACCUAAUAUAAACUAUAAAUGUACCUCUUACGUUACCUACCCUCCGUAGAUCCGCCAUAUAGACGAUAGCUCUAAUAUUUUCUUUACAGGUUCUGUCGGGUUCGUUAAUUACUCCGUUCAACCGUCCUUUGAAAAUUUCGAGAAACCUAAAGACGGGAAGCAGAACAUGUCGCCCGAUCUCUUGGAGAUCUCCCAGGUUAAGGAGUAGAUCUGUGUUCUAAUACGUACGAUAAUCGAGAAUAAGGUGAUCGUUAACGACGUUAAGAGUUCCUUCUUUGACUACGUACACCUCGACUUCCUUUGUUUUCAGACGGGGCUUCUGAUCCUGAACAUAGAAGAGAAGUCCUAAACCACGUUAUAGGUCCUGAAGAACAUGGUGGAAGUAGUAACCACUUACACCGGUUACGACGCCGAAGUUUUCGACGUUAUAAAUCCCGGUUGACAUUCCAACAACCACCGUUGGGAUCGUACUAACCGGUCUCACUGAGAAGCUGCUUUCGACAACCUUUGUACGAUGUAGAAUAUCAACUUCGGACAUAAAGCUCCUUAAACUAGCUGUGUUGACGAAUGAACACCGGACCAAUACAACAUGAUGGCCCCGUAAGCUUCCUAUGUAGAAAUGGGGUCCUUAGCGGUACCCAUUUGAAAUACGUUCCUCGAGGUGAUAGACUAGGUGACUUUUUACGAGAGUAACGAUGAGGACGAAGUUCACAACGUCUUGACCUAUUUGACAUGGUGUAGCGUAACUUACCAAGUCUUGUUCUUUUCAGUCGACGUCGAUUUUAACACACGCCACGUAGUGAACACGCACCAACCUUAUAAGUCCUUGUACAACAGGCGUACCACCAGUUCAAUAACAGCGGAGGAAACGGGAGUCUAAGAAGUAAUGUCCCCUCGUACUCGGUGAUGGAAUCAGUCUUCAGAUGGAAUUUACGUUAGAAUGAACCACAGAGUAUACAGCUACGACAGGUGUAAAAAAGAAACAUACCUUACCAAGGUCUACAACGACGUCGAAAUUACGGUGAGACACUUCGAAAACCCAGUUACGGUGGGGGUAGAUUGGUGUCCAGAUGGUAACAACUACUUUGCAGCCAAAUGAGCCAGAAGAGAACACGUAAAGAAACAGAAGAGGCCAACACCUUUAAAAUGUUUGGGGGAGUUCUCAUAACAGAACGACCGGCACCUCCGAGCCAUUCAUGCCCGAGCAAGCUGCUCCAGGGUUGGGUUGGUUAAAUAUAACUGAGGAAGGGGUUCGAUUCCCGAACCAUGUAAGUCUUAGUUCGAACGUAUCGGAGAUGAGAAAGACCUGAACCGUUAUGUUUGGGACAGGUAGUUCAACGUUUGUUUUAAAACUCAUACUAAACGGCCUUUUAAUGAUUUUCGCCCCAUCAUAGACCAUUAGAAAGUAGACGAAGGUCAUCGUCACAGUCACCAAGGAGAGAUUCAUGUAGACUGCUAAGAAUGGUUUCCGGCUGUGAAGGUCGUACCCUUAAAGAUCUUCGUCAAGGAAUACAAGAACUUCGACAAGAAUGUCGAACAAGAGUGCCCUCCUAAAGGUCGGCUCUGUACUGAUGGUCAAAUUCCCUAGAUCACCUGAAGAAUGGUCGAAGAGAACGACGUUAACAAUCAAUGAAGAGUCGUCUUUAAUGUGCUCCUUAUACCUUUCGACAGGGAUACUUGCCUUGACUUACCGGGUCGGGACCACGACGAGAAGUGAGGUAACUUCUACUUCAUUUCCUUUAGGAACGUAGACGACCACAAGUCUAAGUGUCGACGAUAGGUGCACCACACGGCGGUUACGAAGGAAAUGGUUACCGACGUGAACAGUCGAACUGUUAAUGCAAAUUCGACCUAUCCUCAGAGCUGAUGUAAGUGCCCUAGUAACCAGUCCGUGACCUCUUGACACGUCCCCCAUCAAGGACCGGUUCGUACGGGUAGUAUCCCCGGAACACCUGUGUCUUUCACGCUUCCACCGUACUAAAAUAACAGGAGAGUACAUAGGCCAGAGGCAAACCAUCUCUGUUUCUACGACACCGUGUCGAGUAGGUUUCAACGAAGAGUAGGAAAGACGCGAGUAGGGGUAGGUCACCCAGACUAUAAUGACGUUCGGCACCUCAACCUCGAAAUUACCCUCUCAGUUAGUGUCCGGUGGUUCCAGAAGUAAAAGGGUACCGGGGACCUAAGUAGAUGGACUCUUGAACAGCUUGUAAGGUGCUAUGAAUGAAACACUCGCUCUACUAGGAGUCCGUUCACUAACUAACAAGGGUGUUUGAACGUUUACCGACCAGAAGGUUACCCGGAGGUGUACAUUUUAGUCCAGCUGGCGGUGACAGACCACGACGUAGGUACCGAAGAGUCCAACGGUACGAACCACGCCCUGACGACACACAACGUCCCCCCGGAGAGGACCAGGUCCACGAUAUACUCCUCUGGAACGGCUGGGAUGACGAUAGUCGAGUCCUUGUCUACAACCUUCUGGGACCUGGUCACCGGUCGUCUGAAGUUCCAAUACGGUACCGGUUGUACGAAAAGAAGACACCCUCAGAUGAGACCCCGAGUCUUUUCUGAAGAGGGUAGUACUUUGACAGUAAGGAGAGCUCUUCUGGCGCUCACCACCCGUGGGUGUACCUAAAGUAACGACCACAAGACCUACCCGUGUAGGACGACCCCACGCUGGGUCCAUGCACCUUCCGCAUACAUAGCACGAAACAUAAGGAACACCACUUCAAACAGGGCUGUACCGAUGCCCUGUAUUUUGACCUGUGCGACUUCUUCUAACGGCGCCCCGAAGCUUCAACCGUGCUCUUGCUAGAACGAGACAGUGAUGAGCUCGCUCCUCCUGGUUUCCGUUAGAGACGACAUCAACUUUGGAACGAUGUUACUAGAACGGAAUACCUUAAAAAACGGGGGUUGGGUUGAACAUCCUCGGUAACGUCAGAGUUCGGACUUAAGGACGACCACUCGGUAGUCCGGUCGUCUAUCAGCACAAGUAAACACCUGAUCACAGUGCAGUAGAGCAUACCGGAGAAACGACCUACAAACUGACUUCAUACAUUCAAUUUUAAGAGUCUCGGCUACUGUUCAUAGGACCCAUUUCACGGGGUCGACAUUAUUGUACACAUUAUAUCACCCCGUGACACGCAAAUGUUAAUCAAUCGGGGGGGAAAAGGUUCUUUUAAACCGGGAGAGCUUCCGAAUCUGAAGGUCAAACGGACGCUUAAAACCAUCCAGCCGAUACCUCCGAGACUUAGAAACCCUAUAGUAACACCAUUGCUUAAACAAUAGAGGAAUACUAUACAAUAAAUGUUGCAAUUGUAUCACAAUAGUACUCUUAUUAUAAGGCUCAGGAGUGAGUCUUUUUCUCAACUACUUAAAACUCGUGACUUAAACCCCUACGUUAGAUAAAAGGUCACAACUUAAAAUAUUUACAUUACUCUGUCAAGAAGUACAUUCGUUACACCGUUUUUACAAGUUUGAAACAUAAUGAUAAAUUUACAAACUUGGA
RNAcentral lists this ribosomal RNA (4636 nucleotides) under Triticum aestivum (bread wheat). Its description in RNAcentral is "partial small subunit ribosomal RNA". Lineage: Eukaryota; Viridiplantae; Streptophyta; Magnoliopsida; Poales; Poaceae. The record is from RNAcentral.